This 218-nucleotide ribosomal RNA is filed under the name Escherichia coli. Its description in RNAcentral is "partial 16S ribosomal RNA". It matches the Rfam family "Bacterial small subunit ribosomal RNA", at positions 505 to 722 of the family's 1533-position model. Lineage: Bacteria; Pseudomonadati; Pseudomonadota; Gammaproteobacteria; Enterobacterales; Enterobacteriaceae. The record is from RNAcentral.
GUGCCAGCAGCCGCGGUAAUACGGAGGGUGCAAGCGUUAAUCGGAAUUACUGGGCGUAAAGCGUGCGUAGGUGGUUCUUUAAGUUGGAUGUGAAAUCCCCGGGCUCAACCUGGGAAUUGCAUUCAAAACUGGCGAGCUAGAGUAUGGUAGAGGGUGGUGGAAUUUCCUGUGUAGCGGUGAAAUGCGUAGAUAUAGGAAGGAACACCAGUGGCGAAGGC